Molecule: ribosomal RNA, 316 nt
Filed under: uncultured bacterium
Lineage: Bacteria
Description: bacterial SSU rRNA
Rfam family: Bacterial small subunit ribosomal RNA
Source: RNAcentral
GAUGAACGCUGGCGGCGUGCCUAACACAUGCAAGUCGAACGAAGCACCUUGAUUUCCUCGGAUUGAUAGGUGACUGAGUGGCGGACGGGUGAGUAACGCGUGGGUAACCUGCCUCAUACAGAGGGAUAACAGUUAGAAAUGGCUGCUAAUGCCGCAUAAGCGCACAGUACCGCAUGGUACCGUGUGGAAAACUCCGGUGGUAUGAGAUGGACCCGUGUCUGAUUAGCUAGUUGGUAAGGUAACGGCUCACCAAGGCGACGAUCAGUAGCCGGCCUGAGAGGGUGAUCGGCCACAUUGGGACUGAGACACGGCCCAA